UCAAACAUCUGUGUUUUUAUACAAAGCAAC
Molecule: non-coding RNA, 30 nt
Filed under: Mus musculus (house mouse)
Lineage: Eukaryota; Metazoa; Chordata; Mammalia; Rodentia; Muridae
Source: RNAcentral